GCGGAGAUGGCUGAGCGGUUUAAGGCGCACGAUUGGAAAUCGUGUUACGGUUAACCCCGUACGGAGGUUCAAAUCCUCUUCUCCGCGCCA
Molecule: transfer RNA, 90 nt
Filed under: Candidatus Coproplasma excrementavium
Lineage: Bacteria; Bacillati; Bacillota; Clostridia; Eubacteriales
Description: tRNA-Ser
Rfam family: tRNA
About the family: Transfer RNA (tRNA) molecules are approximately 80 nucleotides in length. Their secondary structure includes four short double-helical elements and three loops (D, anti-codon, and T loops).
Source: RNAcentral